RNAcentral lists this transfer RNA (72 nucleotides) under Salmonella enterica subsp. enterica. RNAcentral's name for it is "tRNA-OTHER". It matches the Rfam family "tRNA". From Rfam's summary of the family: Transfer RNA (tRNA) molecules are approximately 80 nucleotides in length. Their secondary structure includes four short double-helical elements and three loops (D, anti-codon, and T loops). Lineage: Bacteria; Pseudomonadati; Pseudomonadota; Gammaproteobacteria; Enterobacterales; Enterobacteriaceae. The record is from RNAcentral.
GCCCGGAUAGCCUGUCGGUAGAGCAGGGGAUUGAAAACCGUGUCCUUGGUUCGAUUCCGAGUCCGGGCACCA